CUGAACUUAAGCAUAUCAAUAAGCGGAGAA
This 30-nucleotide ribosomal RNA is filed under the name Thanatephorus cucumeris. RNAcentral describes it as "partial 28S ribosomal RNA". The record is from RNAcentral. Lineage: Eukaryota; Fungi; Basidiomycota; Agaricomycetes; Cantharellales; Ceratobasidiaceae.